UGCCUCCGGAUCCCUUAUCCCUCAAACCUAAAUAGUGGUUUGAGUGGCUUUAAAAAAGAGGAGGAAAAGUAAAAUUUUAAAUGGACUCGGAGUCUUUAGUGAAAAACAA
Molecule: small nucleolar RNA, 109 nt
Filed under: Echinops telfairi (small Madagascar hedgehog)
Lineage: Eukaryota; Metazoa; Chordata; Mammalia; Afrosoricida; Tenrecidae
Description: Small nucleolar RNA SNORA61 (ENSETEG00000025494.1)
Source: RNAcentral